CUGAGUAUACGCAGCUGCGUAA
Molecule: unclassified non-coding RNA, 22 nt
Filed under: Human gammaherpesvirus 8
Lineage: Duplodnaviria; Heunggongvirae; Peploviricota; Herviviricetes; Herpesvirales; Orthoherpesviridae
Description: miR-K9
Source: RNAcentral